Molecule: small nuclear RNA, 107 nt
Organism: Pongo abelii (Sumatran orangutan)
Lineage: Eukaryota; Metazoa; Chordata; Mammalia; Primates; Hominidae
Source: Ensembl
GUGCUUGCUUUGGCAGCACAUAUCCUAAAAUUGGAACAAUACAGAGAAAAUUACUAUGGCCCCUGCCUAAGGAUGACACACAAAUUUAUAAAGUGCUACAUAUCUUG